CUCUCCAGCAGAUGGAUGUACGCUAAUGCUGAAAGCUUCCACUAGAGGGUACCAGGGCUGCGCUGGGAUCUUAGAUCGCCAAACCCGAGCAAGUCCGGACUUGUAAAUCUCUGCUUUGGGAAGCACAGAGCUCUCUCUAUUCAGUGCAGUUUGGUCUGAUGGACUCCAACGGGGGGUUCUGGCGACUGAUGCGGACCAUGCUGUAUGAUUUCCAAAUUCUGUGAGCAAAUUACUUAAACCUGCGGUGGCCCAUUUCACAGUUUGGUGAAAUGGGGAUUGCAAAAUUCGACUUCACACGGAGUGAUAGCGUUAUGUAUCCCGUGACUGUAUAGCACGGAUGACUGCGUUAUUUCCGUGCUAGAGGAAAGUUUUGAGACUUGCUGCGGACAGGGAAUGUUAGUGUUACAGUAGAUGGGCUCGCAGGAGCCUGGAGUCCCUCCAUACAGAAGUGUGGUCCUUUGCCAUUUUCUUCAGCCUUACAGUUUUGCACGCCAAUGCCGCUGGUUGUUCCGUCUUGUCCUUCAGCCACAUCUCAGCACCACAGCGCCUAAACAUGUUGCUCCUCUGUCUUUUAUCUUGGUUUUCAUGGAGAAACAGUUGAGCUUAAAGAGCUCCUACAGAGGGUGGUGCCUUUCACAGCUGAAGGCCUCUUCUUUAGCCUUUCUGGAAACUGUGAUGACAGCUACUGGUGGGAAAAAUCACUCGGGAACAGAGCCAUAGCCCUGCUUCUAGGUAACUGGCUAUCACCUGAACCGUUCCUUAGGACAGACUACUGCUGAUUCCUUGCUUUCUGCCUCUCUUGCUCAUGUGAUAAAGUGAGAGCAUUACUUUCCUUGUUUGACAUCUUCUGUUUUGGAUAGAGAAGGAUCCAUGUUUCUUUCUUUCUUUUUUUUUCCUCUUUUCCUUUUUUUCUUUUGAGACACGGUUUCACUAUGUAGCCCAGGCUGGCCUGGAACUUAUGUGUAGACCAGGCUAGCCUUCCAUUCCCAGCAACACUUUUUCUGUCCUGUCUCUGCCUCCUGAGAGCUGGGAUUAUAGAUGGACGUUGUCAUGCUCAGCUGAGAAGUUCAUUUUCUAAGAGCAGUGACUCCAAGCCAGGCCUCAUGGUGAUGGGUCUUUAAUCCCAGUAUACCCAUUUAAUCUCAAUACUUGGGAGGCAGAAGCAGGUAGAUCUCUGAAUUUGAGGCUAGUUUGGUCAAACCCUGUCUUGAGAAAGAAAAACAACAACAGCUCUCGGUUUUAGCGCCAUCUUCCUUGAGACUCCUGAGCCAUAAGAGCGAAGUGGCAGAAGAAGAUAAUGUGCAGGCUGAAGCGCAAGAGAAGAUAAGGCAGUGGUCCAAGUUAGCCAGCCGGUGCAGCCACGACGCCUGCAGGAGCAGAAGUGAGGGAUGCUGAGGGCCGGGACGCCGGGACAAGCUAUCGGACUGUGUGCUGCCAUUGGUAAUGAGUCUCAGUAGAACUGGAAUGUCACCUCGCCACGAUCGCCUGGAGAAAUGACCUCCUUUCUUAUAACCAAAACAGUCCCGCUGGCCCUCUGCCCUGGACCCCCGGCACUCUGGACUAGCUCUGUUCUCUUGUGGCUAAGUGUAGCUCGUGUACAAUAAACCCUCUUGCAGUCAGCUGAAAAAAAAAAAA
This is a long non-coding RNA of Mus musculus (house mouse), 1635 nucleotides long. RefSeq annotates it as predicted gene, 31005. NCBI's taxonomy places the organism in Eukaryota, Metazoa, Chordata, Mammalia, Rodentia, Muridae. The record is from RefSeq and is a predicted model, not a curated record. The transcript has 3 exons.